CAGUAGCCGCGGGAAAACGUAGGGGGCAAGCGUUGUCCGGAAUCAUUGGGCGUAAAGCGCGUGUAGGCGGCUCGAUAAGUCUGCUGUGAAAGUCCAGGGCUCAACCCUGGGAUGCCGGUGGAUACUGUCGAGCUCGAGUCCGGAAGAGGCGAGUGGAAUUCCUGGUGUAGCGGUGAAAUGCGCAGAUAUCAGGAGGAACACCAAUGGCGAAGGCAGCUCGCUGGGACGUGACUGACGCUGAGACGCGAAAGCGUGGGGAGCAAACAGGAUUAGAUACCCGGGUAGUCCCUGUCUCUUAUAC
This 301-nucleotide ribosomal RNA is filed under the name uncultured bacterium. RNAcentral describes it as "partial 16S ribosomal RNA". It matches the Rfam family "Bacterial small subunit ribosomal RNA", at positions 509 to 807 of the family's 1533-position model. The record is from RNAcentral.